CCUACGGGUGGCAGCAGUGAGGAAUAUUGGUCAAUGGACGAGAGUCUGAACCAGCCAAGUAGCGUGAAGGAUGACUGCCCUAUGGGUUGUAAACUUCUUUUAUAUGGGAAUAAAAUGUUCCACGUGUGGGAUUUUGUAUGUACCAUAUGAAUAAGGAUCGGCUAACUCCGUGCCAGCAGCCGCGGUAAUACGGAGGAUCCGAGCGUUAUCCGGAUUUAUUGGGUUUAAAGGGAGCGUAGGUGGAUUGUUAAGUCAGUUGUGAAAGUUUGCGGCUCAACCGUAAAAUUGCGGUUGAAACUGGCAGUCUUGAGGACAGUAGAGGUGGGCGGAAUUCGUGGUGUAGCGGUGAAAUGCUUAGAUAUCACGAAGAACUCCGAUUGCGAAGGCAGUUCACUGGACUGCAACUGACACUGAGGCUCGAAAGUGUGGGUAUCAAACAGGAUUAGAGACCCUUGUAGUC
This 460-nucleotide ribosomal RNA is filed under the name uncultured bacterium. RNAcentral describes it as "partial 16S ribosomal RNA". It matches the Rfam family "Bacterial small subunit ribosomal RNA", at positions 338 to 795 of the family's 1533-position model. The record is from RNAcentral.